RNAcentral lists this ribosomal RNA (1186 nucleotides) under Staphylococcus pseudintermedius. RNAcentral describes it as "partial 23S ribosomal RNA". It matches the Rfam family "Bacterial large subunit ribosomal RNA", at positions 1627 to 2812 of the family's 2925-position model. The record is from RNAcentral. Lineage: Bacteria; Bacillati; Bacillota; Bacilli; Caryophanales; Staphylococcaceae.
CUAGAAUAACGGUGCCCGUACCGCAAACCGACACAGGUAGUCAAGAUGAGAAUUCUAAGGUGAGCGAGCGAACUCUCGUUAAGGAACUCGGCAAAAUGACCCCGUAACUUCGGGAGAAGGGGUGCUCUUUGAGGUUCACGCUUCGAAGAGCCGCAGUGAAUAGGCCCAAGCGACUGUUUAUCAAAAACACAGGUCUCUGCUAAACCGUAAGGUGACGUAUAGGGGCUGACGCCUGCCCGGUGCUGGAAGGUUAAGAGGAGUGGUUAGCGCAAGCGAAGCUACGAAUCGAAGCCCCAGUAAACGGCGGCCGUAACUAUAACGGUCCUAAGGUAGCGAAAUUCCUUGUCGGGUAAGUUCCGACCCGCACGAAAGGCGUAACGAUUUGGGCACUGUCUCAACGAGAGACUCGGUGAAAUCAUAGUACCGGUGAAGAUGCCGGUUACCCGCGACAGGACGGAAAGACCCCGUGGAGCUUUACUGUAGCCUGAUAUUGAAAUUCGGUACAGUUUGUACAGGAUAGGUAGGAGCCUUAGAAGCGUGAGCGCUAGCUUACGUGGAGGCAUUGGUGGGAUACUACCCUAAUUGUAUUGGAUUUCUAACCCGCAGCACUUAUCGUGCUGGGAGACAGUGUCAGGCGGGCAGUUUGACUGGGGCGGUCGCCUCCUAAAGAGUAACGGAGGCGCUCAAAGGUUCCCUCAGAAUGGUUGGAAAUCAUUCAUAGAGUGUAAAGGCAUAAGGGAGCUUGACUGCGAGACCUACAAGUCGAGCAGGGUCGAAAGACGGACUUAGUGAUCCGGUGGUUCCGCAUGGAAGGGCCAUCGCUCAACGGAUAAAAGCUACCCCGGGGAUAACAGGCUUAUCUCCCCCAAGAGUUCACAUCGACGGGGAGGUUUGGCACCUCGAUGUCGGCUCAUCGCAUCCUGGGGCUGUAGUCGGUCCCAAGGGUUGGGCUGUUCGCCCAUUAAAGCGGUACGCGAGCUGGGUUCAGAACGUCGUGAGACAGUUCGGUCCCUAUCCGUCGUGGGCGUAGGAAAUUUGAGAGGAGCUGUCCUUAGUACGAGAGGACCGGGAUGGACAUACCUCUGGUGUACCAGUUGUCGUGCCAACGGCAUAGCUGGGUAGCUAUGUAUGGACGGGAUAAGUGCUGAAAGCAUCUAAGCAUGAAGCCCCCCUCGAGAUGAGAUUU